RNAcentral lists this ribosomal RNA (279 nucleotides) under uncultured bacterium. Its description in RNAcentral is "partial 16S ribosomal RNA". It matches the Rfam family "Bacterial small subunit ribosomal RNA", at positions 506 to 784 of the family's 1533-position model. The record is from RNAcentral.
UGCCAGCCGCCGCGGUAAUACGAAGGGGGCUAGCGUUGUUCGGAAUUACUGGGCGUAAAGCGUACGUAGGUGGCAAAGUCAGUCAGGCGUGAAAGCCCUCGGCUCAACCGAGGAGUUGCGUUUGAUACUACUUUGCUAGAGUCUCGGAGAGGUUGGCGGAAUUCCAGGUGUAGGAGUGAAAUCCGUAGAUAUCUGGAGGAACACCAGUGGUGAAGGCGGCCAACUGGACGGUGACUGACGCUGAGACGCGAAAGCGUGGGGAGCUAACAGGAUUAGAUA